RNAcentral lists this unclassified non-coding RNA (277 nucleotides) under Hevea brasiliensis (rubber tree). Lineage: Eukaryota; Viridiplantae; Streptophyta; Magnoliopsida; Malpighiales; Euphorbiaceae. The record is from RNAcentral.
UGAGGAAUAUGAGGAUUAAUCUCUUUUCCAUCUUCGUCCAACUCAGCCGGAGCAAGACCAGCCUUUCUUGCUUCUUCCAAUUCCAACUGUUUCCUGUGAUCCUCCCUAGAUUUAAAUGCCCCUGAUGCGGUAGCCAUAAUUACUUCUGUAAACCAAAAUUGAGAGGAAAAAUAUUUGGAUUGACGAAACCCUAGAAAUAUAAUACUCUCCGGCCCUUUUGUCAUCUGCAGAAUCUGUAUUCUCCUCCACCCUAUCUCUUUUCCUCCCACAACUCUCA